UACAGAGGUGGCAAGCGUUGUUCGGAAUUACUGGGCGUAAAGCGUGCGUAGGUGGUUCGUUAAGUCUGAUGUGAAAGCCCUGGGCUCAACCUGGGAAUGGCAUUGGAAACUGGCGAUCUAGAGUGCGGUAGAGGGCAGUGGAAUUCCCGGUGUAGCAGUGAAAUGCGUAGAGAUCGGGAGGAACAUCUGUGGCGAAGGCGACUGCCUGGACCAGCACUGACACUGAGGCACGAAAGCGUGGGGAGCGAACAGG
This 253-nucleotide ribosomal RNA is filed under the name uncultured bacterium. Its description in RNAcentral is "partial 16S ribosomal RNA". It matches the Rfam family "Bacterial small subunit ribosomal RNA", at positions 524 to 776 of the family's 1533-position model. The record is from RNAcentral.